GACGAACGCUGGCGGCGUGCUUAACACAUGCAAGUCGAACGGAAAGGCCCUGCUCUUGUUGGGUGCACGAGUGGCGAACGGGUGUGUAAAACGUGAGUAACCUGUCCCUGACUUUGGGAUAACACCUGGAAACUGGGGAUCAUACCGGAUAGGAGCUCCUGAUGCAUGGUGGGGGAUGGUAAGAUUCGGCGGUUUGGGCUGGACUCGAGGGUUAUCCGCUGGUUGGUGGGGUAGGGGCUUACAAAGGCUUUGAAGGGUAGCCGGCAUUGGAGGGUGACCGGCCUCAUUGGGACUAAGGUACGGCCCAGACGCCUACGGGAGGCAGCAGUGGGAAAUAUGGCGCAAUGGGCGGAAGCCAGAUGCAGCAACGCCGCGUGCGGGAUAGCGGCCUUCGAGUGGAAAACCACUUUCGCCUUUAACGAAGCGGUAUUGACGGUAAUGAGUAAGAAAGCACCGGCUAACUACGUG
RNAcentral lists this ribosomal RNA (468 nucleotides) under uncultured bacterium. RNAcentral's name for it is "partial 16S ribosomal RNA". It matches the Rfam family "Bacterial small subunit ribosomal RNA", at positions 28 to 507 of the family's 1533-position model. The record is from RNAcentral.